RNAcentral lists this ribosomal RNA (171 nucleotides) under uncultured bacterium. Its description in RNAcentral is "partial 16S ribosomal RNA". It matches the Rfam family "Bacterial small subunit ribosomal RNA", at positions 364 to 527 of the family's 1533-position model. The record is from RNAcentral.
CCUGGCAAUGGGCGAAAGCCUGAUCCAGCCAUGCCGCGUGUGUGAAGAAGGUCUUCGGAUUGUAAAGCACUUUAAGUUGGGAGGAAGGGCAGUUACCUAAUACGUAAUUGUUUUGACGUUACCGACAGAAUAAGCACCGGCUAACUCUGUGCCAGCAGCCGCGGUAAUAAU